UGCAAGCUGCUCUGCCACUUGGGCCA
This 26-nucleotide non-coding RNA is filed under the name Homo sapiens (human). The record is from RNAcentral. Lineage: Eukaryota; Metazoa; Chordata; Mammalia; Primates; Hominidae.